GUCUGGCUGGACUCAUCUCCUUCUGUGAGGCCCCAGCUGUGCCCUAGCGGUUCUUGCCCCUUUGGUGCUUCAGAGUGAGAGCCGGGGACCCCGUUCCUGGGAGUCUGGAUUAGCCUGGCUUAACCCAGGGCCUUUUCCUAUGUUACUCCCUGGCUUGAGAGCAGCUGGAGGGGCCAUUGUGGUUCCUGGGCUAAGUCCUCAGAGCACUGUUUCGGGUCACUUUUAAUGUUGCUCAGGGCUUACUGUAUGAGCUGUCCCUGACUGUGACCUCCUUUAAAAACUCUACCAUGCCCAAAGGCCACCUUAUGAAGGCACUGUACACAUACCUUUGAGUCACCCAGGCAGGCUGCAGGGCUCUCGGGACGGUAUUCAGUGGCAAAGGAAAUGGUUGCAAACAUCUGUGAUUAUUUUACGUUAAAAUGCUCUGUCCCAGGCCCUGUGUGGCUUAUCAGAGGCGCGAAGUGAACUUGGAGUGGCCCUUGAAGCACUGUGUCCUGAAGGGGAACUCACCCACUGCGGCUCUGUCCAGGACCCAUCAACCAUGAGGUCUAGACUUAUUUCCGAGAAUGAUUACUUACAAAUCUUAGGAACAAUAUAUGCUUAUUAUCAACAUGCAGAAAAGUAGGAGGAAGAAAAUAAUCCCCCGUGUAGACUAAAGGCUUGCUGCUACUUCAACAACAUGAGACCUUAUGACAUGAUAUUAUAUAAUAUGAUAUCAUAGAUAUCAUUAUGAUACGUUAUGACAUAAUCUGAUCAUCAUGGAAAAGCUGUUUACAGGGGAGGGAGUCGUGACGUGAGAGGGAAUAUUGGCAACAGAGCUGGUGUCAGCAGUGACCAAGUGGAGGAGCCGUGCUCAGAGGUCCUGGUACCCGGAGCCCAGAGAGCCGUGGGGGCUGGAGAAGCAGGGACCAUGAGUGAGGCUGGGA
This 926-nucleotide long non-coding RNA is filed under the name Marmota monax (woodchuck). Lineage: Eukaryota; Metazoa; Chordata; Mammalia; Rodentia; Sciuridae. The record is from RNAcentral.